Molecule: ribosomal RNA, 207 nt
Filed under: uncultured bacterium
Lineage: Bacteria
Description: partial 16S ribosomal RNA
Rfam family: Bacterial small subunit ribosomal RNA
Source: RNAcentral
CGUGUAGGCGGCUAAGUAAGUCUGGAGUGAAAGUCCUGCUUUUAAGGUGGGAAUUGCUUUGGAUACUGCAUAGCUAGAGUGCAGGAGAGGUAAGUGGAAUUCCCAGUGUAGCGGUGAAAUGCGUAGAGAUUGGGAGGAACACCAGUGGCGAAGGCGACUUACUGGACUGUAACUGACGCUGAGGCGCGAAAGUGUGGGGAGCAAACA